AUGCCGGAAUCUCCCGCCUAUCUAGCGCUGCCAGAGCCUUCCUCCUCUACAGUGCUGCCGGAGUCUCCCGCCUGUUCAGCGCAGUCAGAGCCUUCCUCCUCUACAGCGCUGCCGGAGUCUCCCGCCUGUUUAGCGCUGCCAGAGCCUUCCUCCUCUACAGCGCUGCCGGAGUCUCCCGCCUGUUCAGCGCAGUCAGAGCCUUCCUCCUCUCCAGCGCUGUCGGAGUCUCCCGCCUGUUUAGCGCUGCCAGAGCCUUCCGCCUCUACAGCGCUGCCGGAGUCUCCCGCCUGUUCAACGCUGCCAGUCUGCAAGGAGCAGCCAGAGCUGCCAGUCUGCAAGGAGCUGCCAGUCUGCAAGGAGCUGCCAGUCUGCAAGGAGCCGCCAGAGCCGCCAGUCUGCAAGGAGCCGCCAGAGCCGCCAGUCUGCAAGGAGCCGCCAGGGCCGCCAGUCUGCAAGGAGCCACCAAGGCCGCCAGUCUGCAAGGAGCAGCCAGAGCCGCCAGUCAGCAUGGAGCAGCCAGAGCCGCCAGUCAGCAUGGAGCAGCCAGAGCCGCCAGUCAGCAUGGAGCAGCCAGAGCCGCCAGUCAGCAUGGAGCAGCCAGAGCCGCCAGUCAGCAUGGAGCAGCCAGAGCCGCCAGUCAGCAUGGAGCAGCCAGAGCCGCCAGUCUGCCAGGAUCCGCCAGUCAGCCAGGAUCUUCCAGAUCCGCCAUUCAGCAAGGAUCCACCAUUCAGCCAGGAUCCGCCAGUCAGCCAGGAUCCGCCAGUCAGCCAGGAUCUUCCAGAUCCGCCAGUCAGCCAGGAACCACCAGUCAGCCAGGAUCCGCCAGUCAGCCAGGAUCUGCCGGAACCGCCUGUCAGCCAGGAUCUGCCAGAACCGCCAGCCAGCCAGGAUCUGCCAGAGCCAACUACCUGCCUGAGCUUCCUCUCAGUACUGGGCUUCCUCUCAGUACUGGGCUUCCUCUCAGUGCCGAGCUACCCCUCAGUCCCGAGCUGCCCCUCAGUCCCGAGCUGCCCCUCAGUCCCGAGCUGCCCCUCAGUCCAGUGGGGCCCUUGGUGA
This 1056-nucleotide long non-coding RNA is filed under the name Oncorhynchus mykiss (rainbow trout). RNAcentral describes it as "lncRNA (ENSOMYG00000059522.1)". Lineage: Eukaryota; Metazoa; Chordata; Actinopteri; Salmoniformes; Salmonidae. The record is from RNAcentral.